Molecule: ribosomal RNA, 447 nt
Filed under: uncultured bacterium
Lineage: Bacteria
Description: partial 16S ribosomal RNA
Rfam family: Bacterial small subunit ribosomal RNA
Source: RNAcentral
AACGAACGCUGGCGGCAGGCUUAACACAUGCAAGUCGAGCGCCCCGCAAGGGGAGCGGCAGACGGGUGAGUAACGCGUGGGAAUCUACCCAUCUCUACGGAAUAACUCAGGGAAACUUGUGCUAAUACCGUAUACGCCCUUUGGGGGAAAGAUUUAUCGGAGAUGGAUGAGCCCGCGUUGGAUUAGCUAGUUGGUGGGGUAAAGGCCUACCAAGGCGACGAUCCAUAGCUGGUCUGAGAGGAUGAUCAGCCACAUUGGGACUGAGACACGGCCCAAACUCCUACGGGAGGCAGCUGUGGGGAAUAUUGGACAAUGGGCGCAAGCCUGAUCCAGCCAUGCCGCGUGAGUGAUGAAGGUCUUAGGAUUGUAAAGCUCUUUCAACGGUGAAGAUAAUGACGGUAGCCGUAGAAGAAGCCCCGGCUAACUUCGUGCCAGCCGCCGCCGUAA